AAUGGGGGCAACCCUGAUCCAGCCAUGCCGCGUGAGUGAAGAAGGCCUUCGGGUUGUAAAGCUCUUUCGGCCGGGACGAAAUCGCAUGGGCUAAUACCCUGUGCGGAUGACGGUACCGGAAUAAGAAGCACCGGCUAACUACGUGCCAGCAGCCGCGGUAAUACGUAGGGUGCGAGCGUUAAUCGGAAUUACUGGGCGUAAAGCGUGCGCAGGCGGUUUUUUAAGAUAGGCGUGAAAUCCCCGGGCUUAACCUGGGAACUGCGCUUAUGACUGGAAGACUAGAGUACGGCAGAGGGGGGUGGAAUUCCACGUGUAGCAGUGAAAUGCGUAGAGAUGUGGAGGAACACCAAUGGCGAAGGCAGCCCCCUGGGCCGAUACUGACGCUCAUGCACGAAAGCGUGGGGAGCAAA
This 410-nucleotide ribosomal RNA is filed under the name uncultured bacterium. RNAcentral describes it as "bacterial SSU rRNA". It matches the Rfam family "Bacterial small subunit ribosomal RNA", at positions 370 to 772 of the family's 1533-position model. The record is from RNAcentral.